Molecule: ribosomal RNA, 492 nt
Filed under: Triticum aestivum (bread wheat)
Lineage: Eukaryota; Viridiplantae; Streptophyta; Magnoliopsida; Poales; Poaceae
Description: partial small subunit ribosomal RNA
Source: RNAcentral
AUGGAACUUCUUAGGGUAGCAAUGGAUAAACUGACCUAUUUAGCUGCUGAGCAUGAUGGUUUGGGUUUGCAACACAGAAUUGAAAUGAAGAAGACAAAAGGUACAGAAUUGACUCUCUUCCAAGGAGCACAACAUGGAUACAUGAGCGAUGAUGAAGGUAGCGCCGUCAAAAAUUUCAUUGGAUUAUCAGCUCCAGAACAGAAACGCAAGGCCGGUCAACCAACAAACAGCAGAGACAAGCCUCCAUAUGAUGACCAGUCUGCAAAGAGCAAAAAAAUUAAGGUCACAUCACAAGUUGAUACAGGUAUUGGAUGCAGUACAAGCAAACGAACACGGUUCUGCACUAUAUGUCGUGGCCCUAUUCACAAGAGCACAACGUGUCCGCUAAGAGGGGACACUCCUCAAAAGAAAAGGAAAGAAUCAAAAUGCUCAAUCUGCGGAGUGGGAGGGCAUCGAAAGAACACCUGCACAUGGAAAGCAACCUACUCAUGA